Ribosomal RNA from Corchorus capsularis, 114 nucleotides. NCBI's taxonomy places the organism in Eukaryota, Viridiplantae, Streptophyta, Magnoliopsida, Malvales, Malvaceae. The record is from Rfam.
GGGUGCGAUCAUACCAGCAUUACUGCACCGGAUCCCAUCAGAACUCCGUAGUUAAGCGUGCUUGGGCGAGAACUAUAAUGGGUGACCUCCUGGGAAGUACUCGUGUUGUAACCC